Non-coding RNA from Paramuricea clavata, 562 nucleotides. The record is from the annotation of a GenBank genome assembly. Lineage: Eukaryota; Metazoa; Cnidaria; Anthozoa; Malacalcyonacea; Plexauridae.
UAUCCUUAUUUCUAUCGUAAAAUAAACUACCAUAGUUUCGUUUUGUGCUCAAUUUAAAGCUUGUUUUUUCAUCUUUCGAAUGAAGGGUUUCUUGAAAAUUUUGAACUAAGGUUAAUCGCAAUAAAAAGAAUUUAGUACAAGCGCUCGUUUUUAGAUGCUUUGAAAUAUUAAUCUUCGAAGUCCCUUGGGGACUUAAUUAAAGGUAGUUUGCUAAAAUUCAGAACGUUGUUGUUUAAAACUUUACAAUCGCCAUUCAUAAUGCCAAAGCAAACAAUUCCGGAAAGAACAUUCAUUGUUGAAAAGUAUUUCGAAACAAAAAGCGUUGUUGCAAUGUUAAUAAGACAAUUUCAAAUAGCUUUUCCAGGACGUAAUCUUCAUCGAGCGUUUGGCGUAAUGUCAACAAAUACCGGCUACAUGCAUUGAAUGGAAGAACCACCCCAUAAAGUUUAAAUCGAAAUAAAGGAAACUCGGGAAGAAGAAGAGUUGUCUUGGAUAUGAGACAAAGAACGAACUUGUGUGAACUUAGAAAUGGAGGCCACGUUGAGUAAAUGUGUACUUCCAA